CGUCAUUGAGGGCAAAAAGGCUCUUGUCACACCUCUCUAUAGCCCAUAGAGAGGUAUCUGAGAUGUUGGGUACGCCGUCCAACCAUUGACC
This 91-nucleotide non-coding RNA is filed under the name unclassified sequences. Its description in RNAcentral is "skipping-rope RNA". It matches the Rfam family "skipping-rope RNA". From Rfam's summary of the family: Firmicutes, Fusobacteria, AlphaProteobacteria, Spirochaetes. The record is from Rfam by way of RNAcentral.